GGGGGCGUAGCUCAAUUGGUUAGAGCACUGGCUUGUCACGCCAGAGGUUGCGGGUUCGAGCCCCGUCGCCCUCG
RNAcentral lists this transfer RNA (74 nucleotides) under Planctomycetia bacterium. RNAcentral describes it as "tRNA-Asp". It matches the Rfam family "tRNA". From Rfam's summary of the family: Transfer RNA (tRNA) molecules are approximately 80 nucleotides in length. Their secondary structure includes four short double-helical elements and three loops (D, anti-codon, and T loops). Further hydrogen bonds mediate the characteristic L-shaped molecular structure. tRNAs have two regions of fundamental functional importance: the anti-codon, which is responsible for specific mRNA codon recognition, and the 3' end, to which the tRNAs corresponding amino acid is attached (by aminoacyl-tRNA synthetases). tRNAs cope with the degeneracy of the genetic code in two manners: having more than one tRNA (with a specific anti-codon) for a particular amino acid; and 'wobble' base-pairing, i.e. permitting non-standard base-pairing at the 3rd anti-codon position. The record is from RNAcentral. Lineage: Bacteria; Pseudomonadati; Planctomycetota; Planctomycetia.